UUUCCUACGGGGCGCAGCAGUGGGGAAUAUUGCACAAUGGGCGAAAGCCUGAUGCAGCAACGCCGCGUGAAGGAAGAAGGGUUUCGGCUCGUAAACUUCUAUCAACAGGGACGAAAGAAAUGACGGUACCUGAAUAAGAAGCCCCGGCUAACUACGUGCCAGCAGCCGCGGUAAUACGUAGGGGGCAAGCGUUAUCCGGAUUUACUGGGUGUAAAGGGAGCGCAGGCGGCACGGCAAGCCUGAUGUGAAAGCCCGCGGCCCAACCGCGGGACUGCAUUGGGAACUACCGGGCUGGAGUGGCGGAG
This 305-nucleotide ribosomal RNA is filed under the name uncultured bacterium. Its description in RNAcentral is "bacterial SSU rRNA". It matches the Rfam family "Bacterial small subunit ribosomal RNA", at positions 335 to 654 of the family's 1533-position model. The record is from RNAcentral.